This 21-nucleotide non-coding RNA is filed under the name Caenorhabditis elegans. The record is from RNAcentral. Lineage: Eukaryota; Metazoa; Nematoda; Chromadorea; Rhabditida; Rhabditidae.
UGAAACAACAGUUAAAUACUU